GCAAGGGCCUUUAAAAUUCGGUUCCAGCAAUGAAAGAGUUAAUGACAAACUGUAAACAUCUGGGAUGGUAUAAUGAAUCAUAACUUGUACGUAAGCAGUCCAUAAUUUUUUCAAUUCGCUUCACAGGCACUUGCCCUGAAGUUGGCAUUGUUUUAUGUUUGACAGAUUGUUGCACAUCUUAUUCCCUGUAAAAUAAAAUUUAAAAAACAUCCACCAUUUGAGACGAUUUUUUUCAUAAUCUUGUCAUGGCGUAAAAGUUGUGUAGGUCAUGUAUGACAGCUGUCAUAAAAUGUACAAGUUACAAUAAAGAGAGGACAUGGUGCUUUUAAUGAUAUUUUCAUUGUGCAGAAUUUGCCGCCCUGUUUCUGGAUAAAUUGUUGUUUCAGUGUCACUGCAUUUUGCGUUUUUUUGCUUAAACUUGACAUAAUGAAAACAACAUGUCCUUUAGCAGGCAUUUUCAAGUAAAUUGCUUACAUAUGUUAAAAUGUCUUUUUUUGUUAUCUGUGAAUGCCGGUUGUCAUUUUAAUACUUUUGAAAAUUAGCUUGGUUAAAUUUUGAUAAAAUUCGGUAUAAAUGGUCAAAGUAUGAAUGGUAUAGUAUUGGUUAAAGCAAGUAAGGGAAAUUGAUAAAACGAAGUUCAAAUUGAGUAUGAUGACAUCUUAAUUAAACCAAUAGUAGGAUAAUUACAUGUCUUAAAUUUGUAUGCCCCCCUUCGAAGAAGAGGGGGUAUAUUGCUUUGCUCAUGUCGGUCUGUCAGUCGGUCUGUCGGUCGGUCGGUCGGAUCUGUCCGUCCACCAGGUGGUUGUCAGACGAUAACUCAAGAACGCUUGGGCCUAGGAUCAUGAAACUUCAUAGGUACAUUGAUCAUGACUUGCAGAUGACCCCUAUUGAUUUUGAGGUCACUAGGUCAAAGGUCAAGGUCACGGUGACCCGAAAUAGUAAAAUGGUUUCUGGAUGAUAACUCAAGAACGCAUACGCCUAGGAUCAUGAAACUUCAUGGGAAGAUUGAUCAUGACUCGCAGAUGACUCCUAUUGAUUUUGAGGUCACUAGGUCAAAGGUCAAGGUCACGGUGACCCGAAAUAGUAAAAUGGUUUCCGGAUGAUAACUCAAGAACGCAUACGCCUAGGAUCAUGAAACUUCAUGGGUAGAUUGAUCAUGACUCGCAGAUGACCCCUAUUGAUUUUGAGGUCACUAGGUCAAAGGUCAAGGUCACGGUGACCCGAAAUAGUAAAAUGGUUUUCGGAUGAUAACUCAAGAACGCAUACGCCUAGGAUCAUGAAACUUCAUAGGUAGAUUGAUCAUGACUUGCAGAUGACCCCUAUUGAUUUUGAGGUCACAAGGUCAAAGGUCAAGGUCACGGUGACCCGAAAUAGUAAAAUGAUUUUCGGAUGAUAACUCAAGUAGGCUUUUGCCUAGGAUCAUGACACUUCAUAGGUACAUUGAUCGUGACUCGCAGAUGACCCCUAUUGAUUUUCAGGUCACUAGGUCAAAGGUCAAGGUCACAGUGACAAAAAUCGUAUUCACACAAUGGCUGCCACUACAACGGACAGCCCAUAUGGGGGGCAUGCAUGUUUUACAAACAGCCCUUGUUUAUAAACAAUUACAUUUCAUCGCUCACACUUUCAAAAUGCAAUCAUACACAAAAGUUAAAAACACAUGAUUGUUUCUUAAAUAUUAAAUAGUUUUUUUUACAUGUUUCUCUUAAUUGAAUUCGUCUGUGCUUGGUUAAAAUUUCAAAUAAUUCACACUCUUAUUCUUUUAAUAAAUGCUCAUAUUAACAUAUUUGUGACAUGCCUAGUUUAAUAUUCAAUCACAUGUGAUAUUUCGUCAAAGGCUUAUGUGCAUAUCUAUGUAAUAAAAUUUAGAGAUUUA
Dreissena polymorpha is the source of this 1873-nucleotide long non-coding RNA. RefSeq lists it as uncharacterized. The transcript is spliced from 2 exons. The record is from RefSeq and is a predicted model, not a curated record. Lineage: Eukaryota; Metazoa; Mollusca; Bivalvia; Myida; Dreissenidae.